Molecule: small RNA, 21 nt
Filed under: Arabidopsis thaliana (thale cress)
Lineage: Eukaryota; Viridiplantae; Streptophyta; Magnoliopsida; Brassicales; Brassicaceae
Description: ATSL243790
Source: RNAcentral
UUCAAAUCCAUAUAUCUUACA